This 253-nucleotide ribosomal RNA is filed under the name uncultured bacterium. Its description in RNAcentral is "partial 16S ribosomal RNA". It matches the Rfam family "Bacterial small subunit ribosomal RNA", at positions 524 to 776 of the family's 1533-position model. The record is from RNAcentral.
UACGUAGGGUGCAAGCGUUGUCCGGAAUUAUUGGGCGUAAAGAGCUCGUAGGCGGUCUGUCGCGUCUGCUGUGAAAACUCGGGGCUUAACCCCGGGCCUGCAGUGGGUACGGGCAGACUAGAGUGCGGUAGGGGAGACUGGAAUUCCUGGUGUAGCGGUGAAAUGCGCAGAUAUCAGGAGGAACACCGGUGGCGAAGGCGGGUCUCUGGGCAGUAACUGACGCUGAGGAGCGAAAGCAUGGGGAGCGAACAGG